RNAcentral lists this ribosomal RNA (195 nucleotides) under Triticum aestivum (bread wheat). Its description in RNAcentral is "partial small subunit ribosomal RNA". Lineage: Eukaryota; Viridiplantae; Streptophyta; Magnoliopsida; Poales; Poaceae. The record is from RNAcentral.
AUGGACAAAACAAGCGGUGGUGGUGUCAGAGGGGAAGGUGAGAAGAAGGCUGCUGCAGCGUGCGACGUGGAGGCGCUGCGCAAGUGCCUGCAGGAGAACAAGGGUGAUCGUGUCAAUGCCAGGCUCACAUCGAUGCCUUCCGAUCCUCGUGUUCUGUCAGCCCCACCACUACCUCUGACAGCCAUCCUGCCUUAA